CAGAAGAUAAUAUCCCCACCACAGAAAUAGAUAGACUUAGAGAGAAGUCAAGACUCAUACUAUUCAGGACAACGUUUAAUAGAUGGUCUUAGUAGGUAGAAUUAAUCAGCGGGGUCAGCAAGACUAAUAAGCCACUGGAUAUCAACCCCUUCAGUAUUCUGAUCCCCUGGAAGGAUAACUUACUGGCGCUGAAUACAAAGUAGAACUACCAUGCAUGUAAAAGCACAAACUAAUCUCACAUACUCCGUCUGAUUCAGAAACACAAAAAUAUGGCUAAUACUACACCAUCAUCAUCAUAGUUCUGUAGAGAAAUAUAUAGGACAAUUCCACAGCAGUAAGCUUGUAAACUUGUAGUUCAAACCUAGAGAGAGUUCAGUUGUCUUCAGUCUGCACUUUGAAUAUCAAGAUUUCUGCAAUAAUUCCAUCCCUUCAAGUCCACACCUAAAAGGCCUUCAAAAAGAAAUCAUGGAUGUCAGUAUGCUAUUGCUAACGAUGAUUUAAAAAAACAUAUGAAGAUAGGAGCGUUACCGUAGCAAGUCCCUCUUAGACAUGGAAUUCAAGGGUACUACAAAAGAUCGUCAUGUAUGUAUUGGAAGUAAAUUUCUUCCGAGUGAAACCUUUUUUAUGGUAAAGAUCUGAGGGAAACGUUAUUAUAACACAAAUGUGACACUUCUUUCCAUAUCUACACUUACUGUGUUCCAAAUGGAAGAAUAAGUACAACUGAUUUCAUUGCCAAAGAAUUCAUACUCUGCCCACUUGAACUGUUGAUCUUAAAACUGCAUCCACCAAGUUAUAAUGUAGAUUUCAUACUCUCAUUCCACUACCCUAACCCAUCCUGCAAGUCUACCACCACAACCAAAAUAGGUCCAAUUGUUAAGCUUCAGAAUUCAAAUUAUCAAUCAGCAGUUACAUCAACACCUUCAACCUAAGCAAAGCCAACGAUUACGUAUUAGAACAACUCGAGGUAACAAACAAACGCUACUCUUAAUUCUUAACAAAUGUUGUGCUGAUUUCUUAUUAGUUAUGGAAUUUCAGACACCUUCAUCUUCAGCAGUAUUUUUUUUGAACUUGGUUCUUAAUGACAUAUGUCCAAGUAGGGCCAGAAGUAAAAACAGAGAUGACCUUUAAGUAGGUUACCAGAGGUCCAAGGGGAUUGUGAUGUGCUGGAUAAAAAAUGAAAUAAAUUCAACCAAGACAUUGGCUUCCUGGUGUAUUCUUCUUCAUCUUUAUCAUCACCCUGGAAC
Molecule: long non-coding RNA, 1244 nt
Filed under: Linum usitatissimum (flax)
Lineage: Eukaryota; Viridiplantae; Streptophyta; Magnoliopsida; Malpighiales; Linaceae
Description: long non-coding RNA (LUSI_LNC008100)
Source: RNAcentral